Molecule: non-coding RNA, 168 nt
Filed under: uncultured Catenibacillus sp.
Lineage: Bacteria; Bacillati; Bacillota; Clostridia; Lachnospirales; Lachnospiraceae
Source: RNAcentral
UAUGAUGGUUUUUAAAUAACCUUUAUUUAAAAUUAAAAGGGAAAUCGGUGAGAAUCCGAUACAGUCACCUCUGCUGUAAAGUGGACGAGAGAGCAUAACCAUUGGAUAUAUUUUAUCCGAGAAGGGCUUUUUAGGAUGAAGCUAAGUCAGAAGACCUGCCAUCAUAUA